RNAcentral lists this ribosomal RNA (426 nucleotides) under uncultured bacterium. RNAcentral describes it as "bacterial SSU rRNA". It matches the Rfam family "Bacterial small subunit ribosomal RNA", at positions 354 to 796 of the family's 1533-position model. The record is from RNAcentral.
GUGAGGAAUUUUCCGCAAUGGGCGAAAGCCUGACGGAGCAAUGCCGCGUGAAGGAUGAAGGCCUAUGGGUUGUAAACUUCUUUUCUCAGAAAAGAAUUAUGACGGUAUCUGAGGAAUAAGCAUCGGCUAACUCUGUGCCAGCAGCCGCGGUAAGACAGAGGAUGCAAGCGUUAUCCGGAAUGAUUGGGCGUAAAGCGUCUGUAGGUUGUUUAAAAAGUAUUCUGUCAAAGAUUAGUGCUUAACCCUAGAUAGGCAGAAUAAACUUUUAAGCUAGAGUUUGGUAGAGGCAGAGGGAAUUCCCGGUGGAGCGGUGAAAUGCGUAGAUAUCGGGAGGAACACCAAAGGCGAAGGCACUCUGCUGGGCCAAUACUAACACUGAGAGACGAAAGCGAGGGGAGCAAAUGGGAUUAGAAACCCUAGUAGUCC